CCAAUAGCGUAUAUUAAAGUUGUUGCAGUUAAAAAGCUCGUAGUUGAAUUUCGGGGUUCUACCGUUGGUCAGACAAUAGUCUGUACUGGCGUGUAGAAUUUCUACCUUCUGGGGAACCAUCAUGUUAUUUAUUUAGCGUGAUGGGAAACCAGGACCUUUACCUUGAAAAAAUUAGAGUGUUCAAAGCAGGCUUACGUCUGAAUACAUUAGCAUGGAAUAAUAAAAUAGGACGGUGGUCCUGUUUUGUUGGUUUCUGAAUCACCGUAAUGAUUAAUAGGGAUAGUUGGGGGCAUUAGUAUUCAAUUGUCAGAGGUGAAAUUCUUGGAUUUAUUGAAGACUAACUUCUGCGAAAGCAUUUGCCAAGGAUGUUUUCAUUAAUCAAGAACGAAAGUUAGGGGAUCGAAGACGAUCAGAUACCGUCGUAGUCUUAACCAUAAACUAUGCCGACUAGGGAUCGGACGAUGUUAAUUUUUCUUGACUCGUUCGGCGCCUUACG
Molecule: ribosomal RNA, 496 nt
Filed under: uncultured Glomeromycotina
Lineage: Eukaryota; Fungi; Glomeromycota
Description: SSU rRNA
Rfam family: Eukaryotic small subunit ribosomal RNA
Source: RNAcentral